UGGGGAAUUGUUCGCAAUGGGCGCAAGCCUGACGACGCAACGCCGCGUGGAGGACGAAGAUCUUCGGGUCGUAAACUCCUUUCGAUCGGGAAGAACGUUUUCCGGGUGAACAAUCCGGAGAAGUGACGGUACCGAGAGAAGAAGCCCCGGCUAACUCCGUGCCAGCAGCCGCGGUAAUACGGGGGGGGCAAGCGUUGUUCGGAAUUACUGGGCGUAAAGGGCGUGUAGGCGGCCAACUAAGUCCGACGUGAAAUCCCCAGGCUUAACCUGGGAACUGCGUCGGAUACUGGAUGGCUUGAAAUCGGGAGAGGGAUGCAGAAUUCCAGGUGUAGCGGUGAAAUGCGUAGAUAUCUGGAGGAAUACCGGUGGCGAAGGCGGCAUCCUGGACCGACAUUGACGCUAAAGCGCGAAAGCCAGGGGAGCAAACGG
RNAcentral lists this ribosomal RNA (429 nucleotides) under uncultured bacterium. Its description in RNAcentral is "bacterial SSU rRNA". It matches the Rfam family "Bacterial small subunit ribosomal RNA", at positions 355 to 775 of the family's 1533-position model. The record is from RNAcentral.